AGAGCGAACGCUGGCGGCAGGCCUAAAACAUGCAAGUCGAACGAGCCCUUCGGGGCUAGUGGCGGACGGGUGAGUAACACGUGGGAACGUGCCUUUUGGUUCGGAACAACUCAGGGAAACUUGAGCUAAUACCGAAUAAGCCCUACGGGGGAAAGAUUUAUCGCCAUUAGAGCGGCCCGCGUCUGAUUAGCUAGUUGGUGAGGUAAAGGCUCACCAAGGCUACGAUCAGUAGCUGGUCUGAGAGGAUGAUCAGCCACACUGGGACUGAGACACGGCCCAGACUCCUACGGGAGGCAGCAGUUAGGAAUCUUGCGCAAUGGGCGAAAGCCUGACGCAGCCAUGCCGCGUGAAUGAUGAAGGUCUUAGGAUUGUAAAAUUCUUUCAGUGGGGAAGAUAAUGACGGUACCACAGAAGAAGCUCCGGCUAACUUCGUGCCAGCAGCCGC
RNAcentral lists this ribosomal RNA (445 nucleotides) under uncultured bacterium. RNAcentral describes it as "SSU rRNA". It matches the Rfam family "Bacterial small subunit ribosomal RNA", at positions 26 to 518 of the family's 1533-position model. The record is from RNAcentral.